This 497-nucleotide ribosomal RNA is filed under the name uncultured bacterium. Its description in RNAcentral is "partial 16S ribosomal RNA". It matches the Rfam family "Bacterial small subunit ribosomal RNA", at positions 28 to 507 of the family's 1533-position model. The record is from RNAcentral.
GAUGAACGCUGGCGGCGUGCCUAAUACAUGCAAGUCGAGCGAACGGACGAGAAGCUUGCUUCUCUGAUGUUAGCGGCGGACGGGUGAGUAACACGUGGAUAACCUACCUAUAAGACUGGGAUAACUUCGGGAAACCGGAGCUAAUACCGGAUAAUAUUUUGAACCGCAUGGUUCAAAAGUGAAAGACGGUCUUGCUGUCACUUAUAGAUGGAUCCGCGCUGCAUUAGCUAGUUGGUAAGGUGACGGCUUACCAAGGCAACGAUGCAUAGCCGACCUGAGAGGGUGAUCGGCCACACUGGAACUGAGACACGGUCCAGACUCCUACGGGAGGCAGCAGUAGGGAAUCUUCCGCAAUGGGCGAAAGCCUGAUGGAGCAACGCCGCGUGAGUGAUGAAGGUCUUCGGAUCGUAAAACUCUGUUAUUAGGGAAGAACAUAUGUGUAAGUAACUGUGCACAUCUUGACGGUACCUAAUCAGAAAGCCACGGCUAACUACGUG